ACCAGACUCCUACGGGAGGCAGCAGUGAGGGAUAUUGGUCAAUGGGGGAAACCCUGAACCAGCAACGCCGCGUGAGGGAAGACGGUUUUCGGAUUGUAAACCUCUGUCCUCUGUGAAGAUAAUGACGGUAGCAGAGGAGGAAGCUCCGGCUAACUACGUGCCAGCAGCCGCGGUCAUACGUAGGGGGCAAGCGUUAUCCGGAAUUACUGGGUGUAAAGGGAGCGCAGACGGCAGUGCAAGUCUGGAGUGAAAGCCCGGGGCUUAACUACGGGACUGCUCUGGAAACUGUGCAGCUAGAGUGCAGGAGAGGCAGGCGGAAUUCCUGGUGUAGCGGUGAAAUGCGUAGAUAUUAGGAGGAACACCGGUGGUGAAGGCGGCCUGCUGGACUGUAACUGACGUUGAGGCUCGAAAGCGUGGGGAGCAAACAGGAUUAGAUACCCCAGUA
This 445-nucleotide ribosomal RNA is filed under the name uncultured bacterium. RNAcentral describes it as "partial 16S ribosomal RNA". It matches the Rfam family "Bacterial small subunit ribosomal RNA", at positions 330 to 792 of the family's 1533-position model. The record is from RNAcentral.